GCCGGAGUGGUGAAAUUGGUAGACGCAGAGGACUCAAAAUCCUCCGAACGUAAGUUCGUGUCGGUUCGAUUCCGACCUCCGGCACCA
RNAcentral lists this transfer RNA (87 nucleotides) under Desulfobacterales bacterium. Its description in RNAcentral is "tRNA-Leu". It matches the Rfam family "tRNA". From Rfam's summary of the family: Transfer RNA (tRNA) molecules are approximately 80 nucleotides in length. The record is from RNAcentral. Lineage: Bacteria; Pseudomonadati; Thermodesulfobacteriota; Desulfobacteria; Desulfobacterales. RNAcentral also lists the same sequence under 1 other name.